Molecule: transfer RNA, 78 nt
Rfam family: tRNA
About the family: Transfer RNA (tRNA) molecules are approximately 80 nucleotides in length. Their secondary structure includes four short double-helical elements and three loops (D, anti-codon, and T loops).
GCGGCCGUAGUUCAGCCCGGUUAGAACGCCUGCCUGUCACGCAGGAAGUCGUGGGUUCAAAUCCCAUCGGCCGCGCAA